GCUGGCACUGCCCUUCGUCGACCCCCUCCUCGCCGUAUGGCUGCCUCGCCGCCCAGCAGCCACCACCAAUGUCCACCUGGCCGUCAACCUCAUCCACUACUACAGAGCGAAGGUAACACAUUUAACACUUGGUAAAUUCAGUUAACUAAAGGCUAAAGACAAUCUACCAAGGCUAAAGCAUAUACUGACAUGAAACGACAAUAAUGGAGCCAUGGAGCGGCAGCAACUCAAGGACAAUUGGUUUCUUCAAGAAGGUAGAAGACGCCGUCCACCCCGUGUCGCCGUCGCCAGAAGGUAGAAGACGCCGUCCACUCCUGUUCAGCCACUGCACCAUCGUCCAGCACCUCAAGGCCGACAUCACCUGGAGCUCCUGUUCAAGAUUUCAGAUUCAGAGAUGAGUACUGAAACUACUUGAUGCUAAGAUUCAGACUAAAGUUACUGUCAAAACUGUC
Triticum urartu is the source of this 452-nucleotide non-coding RNA. NCBI's taxonomy places the organism in Eukaryota, Viridiplantae, Streptophyta, Magnoliopsida, Poales, Poaceae. The record is from RefSeq and is a predicted model, not a curated record.